Molecule: ribosomal RNA, 482 nt
Filed under: uncultured bacterium
Lineage: Bacteria
Description: partial 16S ribosomal RNA
Rfam family: Bacterial small subunit ribosomal RNA
Source: RNAcentral
AUUGAACGCUGGCGGCAUGCCUUACACAUGCAAAUCGAACGGUAACGGGCCUUCGGGUGCCGACGAGUGGCGAACGGGUGAGUAAUACAUCGGAACGUGCCCGAUCGUGGGGGAUAACGAGGCGAAAGCUUUGCUAAUACCGCAUACGAUCUACGGAUGAAAGCAGGGGACCGCAAGGCCUUGCGCGGACGGAGCAGCCGAUGGCAGAUUAGGUAGUUGGUGGGAUACAAGCUUACCAAGCCGACGAUCUGUAGCUGGUCUGAGAGGAUGAUCAGCCACACUGGGACUGAGACACGGCCCAGACUCCUACGGGAGGCAGCAGUGGGGAAUUUUGGACAAUGGGCGCAAGCCUGAUCCAGCCAUGCCGCGUGCAGGAUGAAGGCCUUCGGGUUGUAAACUGAUUUUGUACGGAACGAAAAGCCUUCUUUUAAUACAGGAGGGUCAUGACGGUACCGUAAGAAUAAGCGCCGGCUAACUACGUG